Molecule: non-coding RNA, 409 nt
Filed under: Pongo abelii (Sumatran orangutan)
Lineage: Eukaryota; Metazoa; Chordata; Mammalia; Primates; Hominidae
Source: RNAcentral
ACAAAAAACAUAAAAAUUAGCUGGAUGUGGUGGCACAUGCCUGUAGUCCAGCCACUCAGGAAGCUGAGGUAGAUAACCUGCGCCCAGGAGGUCAAGGCUGCGGUGAGCCAUGAUCCAUAUGCCAGUGUACUCCAGCCUGGUGAUAGAGUGAGACCCUGUCUCAAAAAAUAAAUAAAAGAAAGAUUUAAGCAUAUCCUGGGGUAAGGGACUAGAAAAAAGCCGAAGUAUUACCAGCUAAAUCAAAACCCUUAUUUUAAAAAAGUAGUUACCAUUUGAACAUCCAACUUAACUACAAAAUUCAUCUUUUGUUCACUAUCUAGCACCUCUAAAAGUCAAAAUAAGGACUCUGACUUUGAAGAUGUCUGAAGUAGUCUACAAAUGUAAAUGAACCUAUACAUAUGUACACCUA